CUACGGGACGCACCAGUGGGGAAUAUUGCACAAUGGAGGAAACUCUGAUGCAGCAACGCUGCGUGGAGGAUGACACUUUUCGGAGCGUAAACUCCUUUUAUAUAGGAAGAAGAUGACGGUACUAUAUGAAUAAGCGCCGGCUAACUCCGUGCCAGCAGCCGCGGUAAUACGGAGGGCGCAAGCGUUACUCGGAAUCACUGGACGUAAAGAGCGUGUAGGCGGAUUAAAAAGUCAGAAGUGAAAUCCUAUAGCUUAACUAUAGAACUGCUUCUGAAACUCUUAAUCUAGAAUAUGGGAGAGGUAGAUGGAAUUUCUGGUGUAGGGGUAAAAUCCGUAGAGAUCAGAAGGAAUACCGAUUGCGAAGGCGAUCUACUAGAACAUUAUUGACGCUGAGACGCGAAAGCGUGGGGAGCAAACAGGAUUAGAUACCCGUGUAGUC
Molecule: ribosomal RNA, 439 nt
Filed under: uncultured bacterium
Lineage: Bacteria
Description: partial 16S ribosomal RNA
Rfam family: Bacterial small subunit ribosomal RNA
Source: RNAcentral